GUCUCCUCCAUGGAUUUUCUCGUGUCUAACAAGAGCGGAUUUAGAACGAAAUUUUUCCUUGCAAGUUGAGCAGGGAAAUGGCUUUUCCCCAGUGCUGCCUCGAUGGCCCUCCUGAACAUCUCAACGGAGAAUUUUCGUUCUGAUGGGGUCCCUCCUCCUCUCUCCCCUCUUGAUCGCUUGCUAUAAAAAAAAAAAACACACAACCCAGAGAAUCAAGACAGGGUAGGCAUUUCAUUUUUCCACUUAGCAUGCUAAAAUAAAUAAGCUGCAAAUGUU
Molecule: long non-coding RNA, 276 nt
Organism: Candoia aspera
Lineage: Eukaryota; Metazoa; Chordata; Lepidosauria; Squamata; Candoiidae
Exons: 2
Source: RefSeq, a predicted model, not a curated record